This 602-nucleotide ribosomal RNA is filed under the name uncultured bacterium. RNAcentral's name for it is "bacterial SSU rRNA". It matches the Rfam family "Bacterial small subunit ribosomal RNA", at positions 792 to 1395 of the family's 1533-position model. The record is from RNAcentral.
AGUCCACGCCCUAAACGAUGUCUACUAGUUGUUGGGUCUUAAUUGACUUAGUAACGCAGCUAACGCGUGAAGUAGACCGCCUGGGGAGUACGGUCGCAAGAUUAAAACUCAAAGGAAUUGACGGGGACCCGCACAAGCGGUGGAUGAUGUGGAUUAAUUCGAUGCAACGCGAAAAACCUUACCUACCCUUGACAUGUACAGAAUGCCGAAGAGAUUUGGCGGUGCUCGCAAGAGAACUGUAACACAGGUGCUGCAUGGCUGUCGUCAGCUCGUGUCGUGAGAUGUUGGGUUAAGUCCCGCAACGAGCGCAACCCUUGUCAUUAGUUGCUACAUUAAGUUGAGCAUUCUAAUGAGACUGCCGGUGACAAACCGGAGGAAGGUGGGGAUGACGUCAAGUCCUCAUGGCCCUUAUGGGUAGGGCUUCACACGUCAUACAAUGGUACAUACAGAGGGCCGCCAACCCGCGAGGGGGAGCUAAUCCCAGAAAGUGUAUCGUAGUCCGGAUUGUAGUCUGCAACUCGACUACAUGAAGUUGGAAUCGCUAGUAAUCGCGGAUCAGCAUGUCGCGGUGAAUACGUUCCCGGGCCUUGUACACUCCGCCC